Molecule: long non-coding RNA, 2297 nt
Organism: Solanum stenotomum
Lineage: Eukaryota; Viridiplantae; Streptophyta; Magnoliopsida; Solanales; Solanaceae
Exons: 2
Source: RefSeq, a predicted model, not a curated record
CUGGAAUUUGACGAGAAUGGUGCAUGUGUUGGUGCUAGUCUUGCUUUUGGGGCUCAAGCUGGUGGUGUCAUAAUUGUUGGCCAUGGUGAGACCUUUCUUCUUAGAGAUGCCCGUAGGAAAUGCAUGUGGUGCUUUGAGUUUGUUUUCAUGAGGCAGUCCGCUAUCAGUGUACAGACUCGUCGUAGGUACUUCCUAUUAUUUCCUGUCAUUUAAGACAUGCUAGCAUACUUUGCACAUCUGCAUGCUCUUACUCUAUGAAUAAAGGGUGGGAUCUUACAUUAGUGAGAUAAUUGAACAUCAAAUUGCUGGUGUAAUUAUUAGUGAUAUAUCCUCAUUCCUUGCAAGGCUUACAUUGAGUGUGGAUAUACUCUGAUUGCAAUGUAUCAGAGGACAGUUGUCUGAUUGUCACACGGUUUUGGAUAGAAUACCAAGGAAUGUGUUGUUUGUUGGAUUGGACGGAUAGAGGUUUAUGAACGAGCAUUCAACUGUGAGGGAGUAUGCAGUUUGUUCUUCUUAAUACAACAUGGAUACGUUAUACUCUUGAUAGUCAUUUGCAAUGCAAAUCCGUUCAUUCCAUUUGUGGGGGUUCUGCUAUGUUCAAUGCUUGUCAGUUUCUUCUGAUGGUUUCUCUCAAGAACAAGACUUCUUCCUCGACUUUCAUUCCUUGUGCUAUUGUAAUACUUAAGAAAUACAAUAUUGGUACAUGGAUAGCUACAAAAUGUGCAGCUUAUUCAAGCAUUAACUUACAACUGAGUGAAAUUGUCGAGAUAACUUACAGGGAGAAAGCUUAUUAGUACUGGUGUCGCAACAUAUGAACUCACCCGACCAGAUUUGUGGGUGGCGACAAUCAAUCUUGCUGGCCCUUUAGAUUUACUUUUACUGCUUACUCUUAUGUAGGGUGUUCCCCAGCUAUGCCUCUGCUUUUAACAGUAUUAUGGCAUUAUUCCUUGCUCAAGAUGUUGCCUUCACUCAACAUGUGCCAGUUGGCUCCUCCUAUAUCGUGUGAGAAAUUCACUUCUUCUAUGACACUUGGUUUGGGCUACUUGGCUUGCUUGCUGAAAGGAGGUACUUCAGGAAUUCUUCAAGUGCACACAACUGAUCUUGAAGGACGUUAGGAACAAACAAAGCAGUUGGUCAACACACAUUUUGAUCACUUUGUACCUUGUGAAACAAUGAUUUAUUGUAUACAAAGAGUUCAGCUUACUUUUCACUGUGCAUUUGAGUUGCUAUGCGCAAGUUUGGUGCAGAAAAUGUUUCCGAGGUUAUGAAUAUUACUUCACUUCCCUAGUACUACCCAUGAGUGCAUUCAUAACGGUGUAUAUGGCCUAAUAGUAAGGGAGCACAACAAAGUAGAAUCAAAUAUUUUGCCCCUUCUCAUAUGUUAAUACUACCAUGUGGCCAUUAGGAGAGUGACAGAAUAAUGCAAGCAUCUACAAAUCUCUGCGAGCCUACUGGAGCCAAUGUUGUAGCAGUAGCAGGCUACAAGACUCUUCCUAUGGAAUUGUUUUGUAGGGUAUUGCUAAGGAGAUUCUUUGGACACCAAAGUAGUGUCCCAAGGUCUAUCACGGAUUCAUAGAAUGUGAGGAAGUUCUUUACCUAUGUUCAGUUAUGGGCUUCUGACAAUGAUGUUGUUGAUUUAGGCUUUACUACUCGAACCUUGAGGACAAGGUUCUUAUUAGGGCCGGAGGUAUUGUCAUGAAUGAGUCUGUACCAGUAUUGACAAAGCAGCCCACCAAUACCAUAUUAAGUGGCUCUGUUUGGGAUCCGAGUUGAUAUAUAGCUACUUGUGGGAGCAAAAUAGGUUUAUGCGAAUAUUGUUGGAGUGUCAGUAUCUCCUCAUUCCCGUUCUAUCUGUUAUUCUCACCCUCCUUUUUGAGUCUACGCUUCUCAUUUCCCUUCUAUCCUUUGUUACAAUUCCUUGUUAUCCUUUCAAGUACCUUGUUGAUCUUAAGCUUUCCAUUGUAAUAGUUAGUUUGAGCAUUCAAUCAAAGGAAUUGAUUCCUUGUAGUUGAGCAUUUAAGUGUUCACUUCAGAAGAUCUCUCAAGAAUGGUUCAGUUUCGCUAAUUCAGAUGUAGAUGAAAGCCUCACUGGAGGAGAUGCCACCAAGUUAUUUGCCAUGUCCAAUUUGCCUCGCCAAGAGCUCAAGCAGGUUCUUUUCUUUUCUACUUCCUUUAUUUCCUUAAUAUCGUUCACUUGUACCCAAUAACCCCAUUAUUCGAGUGAGCCGUUAUUUUCUUAGAUAGUGUAUAUAUGGUCAAAAUUAUUUUAUUAUAUGGCAGAUCUUGAAUCCUCUUGA